UCUCUCCGUCGGUGAACCGAGUGAGGGACACGUGCAGCUUCCCUGUGGCGGCCUUGUAGGAGUCCUCGGGCAGCACGUUGUACAGAAACUGCCUCAUCAUCUGCACCAUCUUGCAGGACGGAGACAAGGGUCCCAGGAAGGAUUUCUUCACCUCGGCCACACCUACAUUGAGGACUCUAAGCACCUUCUCCCAUUCAACGGCCUCCUUCCAAGCUUCAGGCUGCUCUGGGCUCCGAGACACAGUAUCCCACACUGACCACAGCAAGAUGGGAGGGCCUCUUGCGAAGUGAAAAAUCCUAGGAAGAUGGGCACGUGGCAGCUGACAACUUAAACUGCUGGGGAAUCUCCUUCACACGGUGCCCGGAUGGGGUCUGCGGCGCGGGAUGGAUCUGCGGUGGAGGAUGAGACCGCGAGGCCCCCAGUCUCCCGCGGACUGGUAGCCUAGCAACAACCUCCGGCUCAGCCAAUCACGGCCAGGCGUCUCCCCGCCCUUCCCCCCCGCCGCCGGCCUUAGUCCCCUGCAGCGGAGCGGUUAAGCAGGGGGGAAGCGGGCGGCGCAGCAGCCCCAGGGGAGGCGGCAGUGAGCAGAGCUGCGUUCCCAGGAAAAGCCCUGCAAUUCUCUGAGUCCCUGUGUGGAGCACCUGGGAGAGUGGUGCUCCUACCUGGUCCCUAAUUGGAGGCUGAAUUAUAGGCUGCGUAUCCCUGUGGGUGUAUUCUUGACUGCCCGA
Long non-coding RNA from Suricata suricatta (meerkat), 728 nucleotides. RefSeq lists it as uncharacterized. The record is from RefSeq and is a predicted model, not a curated record. NCBI's taxonomy places the organism in Eukaryota, Metazoa, Chordata, Mammalia, Carnivora, Herpestidae. The transcript is spliced from 3 exons.